This 460-nucleotide ribosomal RNA is filed under the name uncultured bacterium. RNAcentral describes it as "partial 16S ribosomal RNA". It matches the Rfam family "Bacterial small subunit ribosomal RNA", at positions 338 to 795 of the family's 1533-position model. The record is from RNAcentral.
CCUACGGGAGGCUGCAGUGAGGAAUAUUGGUCAAUGGACGAGAGUCUGAACCAGCCAAGUCGCGUGAAGGAUGACUGCCCUAUGGGUUGUAAACUUCUUUUAUAUGGGAAUAAAAUGUUACACGUGUGGGAUUUUGUAUGUACCAUAUGAAUAAGGAUCGGCUAACUCCGUGCCAGCAGCCGCGGUAAUACGGAGGCUCCGAGCGUUAUCCGGAUUUAUUGGGUUUAAAGGGAGCGCAGGUGGAUUGUUAAGUCAGUUGUGAAAGUUUGGGGCUCAACCGGAAAAUUGCAGUUGAAACUGGCAGUCUUGAGUACAGUAGAGGUGGGCGGAAUUCGUGGUGUAGCGGUGAAAUGCUUAGAUAUCACGAAGAACUCCGAUGGCGAAGGCAGUUCACUGGACUGCAACUGACGCUGAGGCUCGAAAGUGUGGGGAUCAAACAGGAUUAGAUACCCCUGUAGUC